AUUCCUGCUUCCAGGUAUUCACAGCUCAGUGAUGCUACUCAUCUGUCAAGGCACAAAGCCUUGCAGAAACCUCUGAGUUCUGCUCUAGAACUACUUGCUAGAGGUGAAGGCAGAAUGUGAGUAGGGCUUGGCUGGAGUACAAGAACAGCAUACAGCUGACUGCCAGGCGAUAACUGCUUGUACACAGGUGUCACCUGGAUGGUGCUCUGGAUGCUUGUUUCAGCUGAUGAACCACCUGUGGUGUGAGGAUGAUGGCUGAGCUCUGGAGGUGCCUCACGGGACCAGUGUCUGCAGCUCCAUGUGGGCACCACCAGCCUCCACGGAUGGGAGAUGAGCUGUGACAAACAACCCUUCCUGCUGCCCUGUGGGCAGGGCUCACUUGAGGGUGAGUGUGCAUGGAGCCCAGCCCUGGCAGUCACUCUAGGUAGAGUAGCAGCUAGUAAAUCUCCCUGUGGGUGGUGUGGACAACAGGCUGCCUCGGGCUGGGAGAUCUCCAGGGUGGUGGUUUUCUUUUAUCUGUUAUUUUUUUGGAUAAGCAGCAGCGAGCAGGAGAGGAAAUAAGGGGAUGAAGUGGUGAUGCUGGGGACACGUCCUGGCAGCCAGCCGAGCCCGCAGCCCCCACCUCUCACUGCCUCGGACGUCACCAAUGCGUUUCCCUGCGCGUCCUCUGACUGUCACAGCAUCACAAGCCGUGGAAUCACACCCAGUCGCUGUGGCAACGUCACCUGCUGUGAUGUGCUGUGCCAUUGCCUAGCAACAAGCAAAGGGUCCCUGUAGAUGGUGGGGUGCAGGUCCCUUGUCCUGGGGCUCCACCCAGCCCAUGUGUGGAUGAAUGCUCUCCCUUUUCCCCACAGACAGGGAAUAUGCUUUUUUAACCUGGGUAAUUUUUAACCCUUUCCCUCCAGAAGGUUUUGUGCUGUGGUUUGCUAGCAGUGCGUGCCCUUGUUUCAUUCUGCGUACAUCCAGAAGAAUGGACAGAAGUCCCUUCUGCCUCUGCUUGCUCGUAACCAAAGGACACAGGGAACUGAAACAGAUGGGAGAGAGUGGAGAAGUUGGAAAGAAAACAAUCUCCAAGCCAUGGCUUUCUUGGUGUGCUCUGCUUCACCUCCUGUACCCUGUGUGUCUGUGGGGAGCAGUACAUACCUUGGUGUGCAAGCUCUGCAGCUCAGCGUUUUGCUUGGCAACGUUGAGAAAGAUCCAGGGCCUUCUCUAAAUGGAAGGUGAAACUUCAACCUGCCGAGGAGCCAGCAUCGCAGCUGAAGCCCCUCAGCGCACACAGACAUACCCAUGUGUGAUUUAGAAGCCAUCAAUGAGCCUUGCCAGUCAUUUACACACCACUUCAGAGCCUUAGUGCAAAGGAAAAGCCACACCGCACAUAGCAUCCAGCUCCUGCACUCAGAGAACCACCAGGAGUGGAGUAGACCUCCAAGCUCAUCCAAUCCAACCACCCCCCCACUGCCAACAUCACCCUAUUAAACCAUGUCCUUUAGCACAACAAGUGUUUCUUGUUCACCUCCAGGGCCAACAACCCAACCCCUUCCCUGGGCAGCCCUAUCCAGUGCCUGACCGCUCUUUUGGAGCAGGUAUUUUUCCCAACAUCCAGCCUCAAAAAGCUGGGAUGAGACAAGCAUUUCUGCACCAACAGAACAAGAUACGAAACGUCUCCACCACUCGCAGAGGAUAAAUCUGGGAUCACAGAUCAGAGUUUAUUACAGGACUUCAGCUGUAUGUUUAGAAAUGAACUCAAAUUCAGAGUUCUAAGUGAAACCAGAGUAGGCGUGUGUGGUAGGAACGCUGAGCCACACCUGCAAAGCCAGAAUACAUUUGGCCAACAGCAGCUGUCUCUGCCCUACGUGUGCACUGCCCCAGGGAACAAAGCUAACAUAGGAAUUAGAGAUGUUUCUCACCAAUGUGGUGAUAACUCUGCAAAAGCAGAGUGUUGAGGCAAGGUAUCAGAAGAGCAGGCCAGCGUGCUGGCUGCCUGGAAAUGGAGAGGCUUCACUGGGUUCCCAUAGCCAGCUUGGGGCUGCUAUCUGGGGGGAAAUCUCUCCUCCUACGUCACUAUAGCAGAGCAAUUGUCACCAAGGAUUUCAUUUGAGACUUUGCUUUUGGCUAUCAGAGAGUUCUCAGUGUAGGGAGGGAGGUAAAAGAUGCCAGUCUUUCCUCCCCGUUCCUCUGAGAGGGAGAAGCUUACUGUGAAAUUCAGUUCACUUCAAUGGCAACAGGAAGAGACUGGCUUUUAAUCUUCAGGAACAAGGAUGACAAGGCUUGUGUUGUAGAAAAUUACUGUUCAAGUUUGUGUGGGCCAAGAGCACAGCCUCAGACCUGACAAACUCAGCAGGAAAAUACAACCUGGCCCUUAAGCAGAGAACUGCCAUCAGAUGCUGCUAUCGGAGGCAUCACCUGAAAAACCAGAAUCUGUCAUUCAACCGGAAAGUUGGAGCAAUAGCAGCGGGAUGAAAAAUGCAAACAAUUGGCAGCAUUUCCUUUCCUUCACCUCCCAAAUGGGUCCAUAAAAGUGGAGGUAAACACUUGGGGAAUGUUACUUUAAGCACUGUAUAAAGCCUGAGCUUUC
This is a long non-coding RNA of Coturnix japonica (Japanese quail), 2575 nucleotides long. RefSeq lists it as uncharacterized. The record is from RefSeq and is a predicted model, not a curated record. NCBI's taxonomy places the organism in Eukaryota, Metazoa, Chordata, Aves, Galliformes, Phasianidae.